CUCACUGGGAGGCAGUAGUGGGGCUCCGGGUUGUCAGUGCCCGGGGGUUGGGGGGGGGAAAGGCUUCAGCUGUUAGCCCCUGUAGGGCUGACAGCCAACAGCCGAUCAUUCAAAUAACUUGUCAGAUGUCCAUCAUAAAGUGCUAAUAAGGUGCAACAGAAUAAUCUGCAGAUGAAGGAGGCGUCAAAAGGUGUUUGCCAGUUGAGUUCAUCUCACAUACCCCGUGAUAAAAUGAUAGCUUAAGUCUUAAUAUUUGGAAGAAUCAUCUCCUCCCAUGAGGAAACGAAGAGAAGCUUCAGAUUUUUCAUCUCCUUGUGUAAGAUUUGAACUGAAUCCUACUGCCAGUUAAUCACUAGAUAUUUCAGAUUUUGACUGUCAUAUCUGAAAAUGUAUACGGCACAUAAGAACUGUUCUACAAAAGAAGAAACACAUGCAAAAAAGAUUUAUCCCCAAAGCUUUCUAAUCUCUCUCCAGAGCCUUCUGAAGUGCAAAGCUACAAAGUGCCAGCUGGUAACACAGUCGUUUUCUAGUGGACUGUGGGUUUCUUUGUUAAAGUUGAGAAAAUAUUGUCUCCAAAUGGCAAGUUACUUGGAUUGAUAAAUCUUACUGCUAAAUCCAGUAGCAUGAAACCUGAUCCUGUAAGCUCUCUCAUGCCGCACUCUUAAGGUUUCUCCUUUUAUUGUUUAUUGCU
Molecule: long non-coding RNA, 691 nt
Organism: Mauremys reevesii (Reeves's turtle)
Lineage: Eukaryota; Metazoa; Chordata; Testudines; Geoemydidae
Exons: 4
Source: RefSeq, a predicted model, not a curated record